RNAcentral lists this ribosomal RNA (449 nucleotides) under uncultured organism. Its description in RNAcentral is "partial 16S ribosomal RNA". It matches the Rfam family "Bacterial small subunit ribosomal RNA", at positions 335 to 800 of the family's 1533-position model. The record is from RNAcentral.
ACUCCUGCGGGAGGCAGCAGUGGGGAAUCUUGCGCAAUGGGCGAAAGCCUGACGCAGCCAUGCCGCGUGAAUGAUGAAGGUCUUAGGAUUGUAAAAUUCUUUCACCGGGGACGAUAAUGACGGUACCCGGAGAAGAAGCCCCGGCUAACUUCGUGCCAGCAGCCGCGGUAAUACGAAGGGGGCUAGCGUUGCUCGGAAUUACUGGGCGUAAAGGGAGCGUAGGCGGACAUUUAAGUCAGGGGUGAAAUCCCGGGGCUCAACCUCGGAAUUGCCUUUGAUACUGGGUGUCUUGAGUAUGAGAGAGGUGUGUGGAACUCCGAGUGUAGAGGUGAAAGUCGUAGAUAUUCGGAAGAACACCAGUGGCGAAGGCGACACACUGGCUCAUUACUGACGCUGAGGCUCGAAAGCGUGGGGAGCAAACAGGAUUAGAUACCCCUGUAGUCCCAUGA